AUUGAACGCUGGCGGCAUGCUUUACACAUGCAAGUCGAACGGUAACAGCACUUCGGUGGCUGACGAGUGGCGAACGGGUGAGUAAUACAUCGGAACGUGCCUAGUAGUGGGGGAUAACUACUCGAAAGAGUAGCUAAUACCGCAUGAGAUCUAAGGAUGAAAGCAGGGGACCUUCGGGCCUUGCGCUACUAGAGCGGCUGAUGGCAGAUUAGGUAGUUGGUGGGAUAAAAGCUUACCAAGCCGACGAUCUGUAGCUGGUCUGAGAGGACGACCAGCCACACUGGGACGGAGACACGGCCCAGACUCCUACGGGAGGCAGCAGUGGGGAAUUUUGGACAAUGGGCGCAAGCCUGAUCCAGCAAUGCCGCGUGCAGGAUGAAGGCCUUCGGGUUGUAAACUGCUUUUGUACGGAACGAAAAGCCCUCUUCUAAUACAGGAGGGUCAUGACGGUACCGUAAGAAUAAGCACCGGCUAACUACGUG
Molecule: ribosomal RNA, 482 nt
Filed under: uncultured bacterium
Lineage: Bacteria
Description: partial 16S ribosomal RNA
Rfam family: Bacterial small subunit ribosomal RNA
Source: RNAcentral